AGUGAACGCUGGCGGCAGGCCUAAUACAUGCAAGUCGAACGGCAGCACAGCAGAGCUUGCUCUGUGGGUGGCGAGUGGCGGACGGGUGAGGAAUACGUGGGAAUCUGCCCAGUCGUGGGGAUAACGUAGGGAAACUUACGCUAAUACCGCAUGCGCCCUUCGGGGGAAAGCCGGGGACCUUCGGGCCUGGCGCGAUUGGAUGAGCCCACGUCGGAUUAGCUAGUUGGCGGGGUAAAGGCCCACCAAGGCGACGAUCCGUAGCUGGUCUGAGAGGAUGAUCAGCCACACUGGAACUGAGACACGGUCCAGACUCCUACGGGAGGCAGCAGUAGGGAAUAUUGGACAAUGGGCGCAAGCCUGAUCCAGCCAUGCCGCGUGAGUGAAGAAGGCCCUCGGGUGUAAAGCUCUUUGUCCGG
This 416-nucleotide ribosomal RNA is filed under the name uncultured bacterium. RNAcentral describes it as "bacterial SSU rRNA". It matches the Rfam family "Bacterial small subunit ribosomal RNA", at positions 28 to 442 of the family's 1533-position model. The record is from RNAcentral.